UGCCUAUAAGAUGAAAAAUCUAGAGAAA
Molecule: non-coding RNA, 28 nt
Filed under: Mus musculus (house mouse)
Lineage: Eukaryota; Metazoa; Chordata; Mammalia; Rodentia; Muridae
Source: RNAcentral